RNAcentral lists this long non-coding RNA (295 nucleotides) under Sorghum bicolor (sorghum). RNAcentral describes it as "long non-coding RNA (SBIC_LNC015460)". Lineage: Eukaryota; Viridiplantae; Streptophyta; Magnoliopsida; Poales; Poaceae. The record is from RNAcentral.
UGUAGUAAUAAAAUAAUGGGCGUUGCCAUGGCCAUCAGGACGGUGGUGUUGCUCCCCGCCGUGCUCACGCUCCUCUCCUUCCUCCUCCUACCCUUGGCCUCCCUGGCGCUGACGCAGGACUUCUGCGUGGCCGACCUGACCUGCAGCGACACGCCGGCGGGGUACCCGUGCAAGUCCAGCGUCACCGCCAACGACUUCUACUACCACGGCCUGGCCGGGCAGGGCAAGAUCAACCCGCUGAUCAAGGCGGCCGUGACGCCGGCGUUCGUCGGCCAGUUCCCGGGCGUCAACGGGC